Molecule: ribosomal RNA, 1852 nt
Filed under: Escherichia coli
Lineage: Bacteria; Pseudomonadati; Pseudomonadota; Gammaproteobacteria; Enterobacterales; Enterobacteriaceae
Description: partial 23S ribosomal RNA
Rfam family: Bacterial large subunit ribosomal RNA
Source: RNAcentral
GGGUUGUGAGGUUAAGCGACUAAGCGUACACGGUGGAUGCCCUGGCAGUCAGAGGCGAUGAAGGACGUGCUAAUCUGCGAUAAGCGUCGGUAAGGUGAUAUGAACCGUUAUAACCGGCGAUUUCCGAAUGGGGAAACCCAGUGUGUUUCGACACACUAUCAUUAACUGAAUCCAUAGGUUAAUGAGGCGAACCGGGGGAACUGAAACAUCUAAGUACCCCGAGGAAAAGAAAUCAACCGAGAUUCCCCCAGUAGCGGCGAGCGAACGGGGAGGAGCCCAGAGCCUGAAUCAGUGUGUGUGUUAGUGGAAGCGUCUGGAAAGGCGCGCGAUACAGGGUGACAGCCCCGUACACAAAAAUGCACAUACUGUGAGCUCGAUGAGUAGGGCGGGACACGUGGUAUCCUGUCUGAAUAUGGGGGGACCAUCCUCCAAGGCUAAAUACUCCUGACUGACCGAUAGUGAACCAGUACCGUGAGGGAAAGGCGAAAAGAACCCCGGCGAGGGGAGUGAAAAAGAACCUGAAACCGUGUACGUACAAGCAGUGGGAGCCUCUUUUAUGGGGUGACUGCGUACCUUUUGUAUAAUGGGUCAGCGACUUAUAUUCUGUAGCAAGGUUAACCGAAUAGGGGAGCCGAAGGGAAACCGAGUCUUAACUGGGCGUUAAGUUGCAGGGUAUAGACCCGAAACCCGGUGAUCUAGCCAUGGGCAGGUUGAAGGUUGGGUAACACUAACUGGAGGACCGAACCGACUAAUGUUGAAAAAUUAGCGGAUGACUUGUGGCUGGGGGUGAAAGGCCAAUCAAACCGGGAGAUAGCUGGUUCUCCCCGAAAGCUAUUUAGGUAGCGCCUCGUGAAUUCAUCUCCGGGGGUAGAGCACUGUUUCGGCAAGGGGGUCAUCCCGACUUACCAACCCGAUGCAAACUGCGAAUACCGGAGAAUGUUAUCACGGGAGACACACGGCGGGUGCUAACGUCCGUCGUGAAGAGGGAAACAACCCAGACCGCCAGCUAAGGUCCCAAAGUCAUGGUUAAGUGGGAAACGAUGUGGGAAGGCCCAGACAGCCAGGAUGUUGGCUUAGAAGCAGCCAUCAUUUAAAGAAAGCGUAAUAGCUCACUGGUCGAGUCGGCCUGCGCGGAAGAUGUAACGGGGCUAAACCAUGCACCGAAGCUGCGGCAGCGACGCUGAUGCGUUGUUGGGUAGGGGAGCGUUCUGUAAGCCUGUGAAGGUGUACUGUGAGGUAUGCUGGAGGUAUCAGAAGUGCGAAUGCUGACAUAAGUAACGAUAAAGCGGGUGAAAAGCCCGCUCGCCGGAAGACCAAGGGUUCCUGUCCAACGUUAAUCGGGGCAGGGUGAGUCGACCCCUAAGGCGAGGCCGAAAGGCGUAGUCGAUGGGAAACAGGUUAAUAUUCCUGUACUUGGUGUUACUGCGAAGGGGGGACGGAGAAGGCUAUGUUGGCCGGGCGACGGUUGUCCCGGUUUAAGCGUGUAGGCUGGUUUUCCAGGCAAAUCCGGAAAACUAAGGCUGAGGCGUGAUGACGAGGCACUACGGUGCUGAAGCAACAAAUGCCCUGCUUCCAGGAAAAGCCUCUAAGCAUCAGGUAACAUCAAAUCGUACCCCAAACCGACACAGGUGGUCAGGUAGAGAAUACCAAGGCGCUUGAGAGAACUCGGGUGAAGGAACUAGGCAAAAUGGUGCCGUAACUUCGGGAGAAGGCACGCUGAUAUGUAGGUGAAGUCCCUCGCGGAUGGAGCUGAAAUCAGUCGAAGAUACCAGCUGGCUGCAACUGUUUAUUAAAAACACAGCACUGUGCAAACACGAAAGUGGACGUAUACGGUGUGACGCCUGCCCGGUGC